CCAGCACUGCGUAGCGCGGUGGUCCCACCUGACCCCAUGCCGAACUCAGAAGUGAAACGCCGUAGCGCCGAUGGUAGUGUGGGGUCUCCCCAUGCGAGAGUAGGGAACUGCCAGG
Molecule: ribosomal RNA, 115 nt
Filed under: Escherichia coli BL21(DE3)
Lineage: Bacteria; Pseudomonadati; Pseudomonadota; Gammaproteobacteria; Enterobacterales; Enterobacteriaceae
Source: RNAcentral